This 484-nucleotide ribosomal RNA is filed under the name uncultured bacterium. RNAcentral's name for it is "partial 16S ribosomal RNA". It matches the Rfam family "Bacterial small subunit ribosomal RNA", at positions 29 to 523 of the family's 1533-position model. The record is from RNAcentral.
AGUGAACGCUGGCGGCGUGCUUAACACAUGCAAGUCGAACGAGAACGGGUUAUAGCUUGCUAUAAUUGUCAGCUGAGUGGCGCACGGGUGAGUAAUGUAUAGGUAAUAUGCCUCUUACUAAGGGAUAACAAAUGGAAACGUUUGCUAAUACCUUAUACUCCUUAUUAACAUAAGUUAAUAAGGGAAAGAUUUAUUGGUAAGAGAUUAGCCUGUAUUGUAUCAGUUAGUUGGUGGGGUAAUGGCUUACCAAGACUAUGACACAUAACUGGUUUGAGAGGAUGAUCAGUCACGCUGGAACUGAGACACGGUCCAGACUCCUACGGGAGGCAGCAGUGGGGAAUAUUGCACAAUGGACGAAAGUCUGAUGCAGCAACGCCGCGUGGAGGAUGACACAUUUCGGUGCGUAAACUCCUUUUAUAUGAGAAGAUAAUGACGGUAUUAUAUGAAUAAGCACCGGCUAACUCCGUGCCAGCCGCCGCCGUAA